GAUGAACGCUGGCGGCGUGCCUAAUACAUGCAAGUCGAGCGAACGUUCGAUAAGCUUGCUUCUCUGAUGUUAGCGGCGGACGGUUGAGUAACACGUGGAUAACCUGCCUAUAAGACUGGGAUAACUUCGGGAAACCGGACCUAAUACCGGAUAAUAUUUUGAACCGCAUGGUUCAAAAGUGAAAGACGGUCUUGCUGUCACUUAUAGUUCUAUCCGCGCUGCAUUAGCUAGUUGGUAAGGUAAAGGCUUACCAAGGCAACGAUGCAUAGCCGACCUGAGAGGGUGAUCGGCCACACUGGAACUGAGACACGGUCCAGACUCCUACGGGAGGCAGCAGUAGGGAAUCUUCCGCAAUGGGCGAAAGCCUGACGGAGCAACGCCGCGUGAGUGAUGAAGGUCUUCGGAUCGUAAAACUCUGUUAUUAGGGAAGAAAAUAUGUGUAAGUAACUGUGCACAUCUUGACGGUACCUAAUCAGAAAGCCACGGCUAACUACGUG
RNAcentral lists this ribosomal RNA (497 nucleotides) under uncultured bacterium. RNAcentral's name for it is "partial 16S ribosomal RNA". It matches the Rfam family "Bacterial small subunit ribosomal RNA", at positions 28 to 507 of the family's 1533-position model. The record is from RNAcentral.